Molecule: ribosomal RNA, 375 nt
Filed under: uncultured bacterium
Lineage: Bacteria
Description: bacterial SSU rRNA
Rfam family: Bacterial small subunit ribosomal RNA
Source: RNAcentral
AUACGUAGGGUCCAAGCGUUAAUCGGAAUUACUGGGCGUAAAGCGUGCGCAGGCGGUUGUGCAAGACCGAUGUGAAAUCCCCGAGCUUAACUUGGGAAUUGCAUUGGUGACUGCACGGCUAGAGUGUGUCAGGGGGGGGUAGAAUUCCACGUGUAGCAGUGAAAUGCGUAGAGAUGUGGAGGAAUACCGAUGGCGAAGGCAGCCCCCUGGGAUAACACUGACGCUCAUGCACGAAAGCGUGGGGAGCAAACAGGAUUAGAUACCCUGGUAGUCCACGCCCUAAACGAUGUCAACUAGUUGUUGGGGAUUCAUUUCCUUAGUAACGUAGCUAACGCGUGAAGUGGACCGCCUGGGGAGUACGGUCGCAAGAUUAAA